UACAGAGACCUCAAGCGUUAUCCGGAAUCAUUGGGCGUAAAGCGUACCGAUAGGUGGUUUUACAAGUCAGAAGUGAAAUCUCUCAGCUUAACUGGGAGACUGUCUUUUGAAACUGUAAAACUAGAGGGGCAAAGAGGAAGCUGGAACGAACGGUGUAGUAGUGAAAUGCGUUGAUAUCGUUCGGAACACCAAUAGCGUAGGCAGGCUUCUGGGUGCCACCUGACACUGCUAGGACGAGAGCGUGGGUAGCGAAUGGG
Molecule: ribosomal RNA, 257 nt
Filed under: uncultured bacterium
Lineage: Bacteria
Description: partial 16S ribosomal RNA
Rfam family: Bacterial small subunit ribosomal RNA
Source: RNAcentral